RNAcentral lists this ribosomal RNA (597 nucleotides) under uncultured fungus. Its description in RNAcentral is "eukaryotic LSU rRNA". It matches the Rfam family "Eukaryotic large subunit ribosomal RNA", at positions 37 to 654 of the family's 3401-position model. Lineage: Eukaryota; Fungi. The record is from RNAcentral.
AGCAUAUCAAUAAGCGGAGGAAAAGAAACCAACAGGGAUUGCCCCAGUAACGGCGAGUGAAGCGGCAACAGCUCAAAUUUGAAAUCUGGCCCCUAGGGCCCGAGUUGUAAUUUGCAGAGGAUGCUUUUGGCGAGGUGCCUUCCGAGUUCCCUGGAACGGGACGCCAUAGAGGGUGAGAGCCCCGUCUGGUUGGAUACCGAGCCUCUGUAAAGCUCCUUCGACGAGUCGAGUAGUUUGGGAAUGCUGCUCUAAAUGGGAGGUAUAUGUCUUCUAAAGCUAAAUAUUGGCCAGAGACCGAUAGCGCACAGGUAGAGUGAUCGAAAGAUGAAAAGCACUUUGAAAAGAGGGUUAAAAAGUACGUGAAAUUGUUGAAAGGGAAGCACUCAUGACCAGACUUGGGCCCGGUGAAUCACCCAGCGUUCUUCGCUGGGGCACUUUGCCGGGGUCAGGCCAGCAUCAGUUCGUGCCGGGGGACAAAGACUUCGGGAACGUGGCUCCUCCGGGAGUGUUAUAGCCCGUUGUGCAAUACCCUGGGGCGGACUGAGGUUCGCGCAUUUAUGCAAGGAUGCNGGCGUAAUGGUCAUCAGUGACCCGUCU